AUUGAACGCUGGCGGCAUGCCCUACGCAUGCAAGUCGAACGGUAACGGGUCCUUCGGGAUGCCGACGAGUGGCGAACGGGUGAGUAAUAUAUCGGAACGUGCCCAGUAGUGGGGGAUAACUGCUCGAAAGAGCAGCUAAUACCGCAUACGACCUGAGGGUGAAAGGGGGGGAUCGCAAGACCUCGCGCUAUUGGAGCGGCCGAUCUCAGAUUAGCUAGUUGGUGGGGUAAAGGCCUACCAAGGCAACGAUCUGUAGUUGGUCUGAGAGGACGACCAGCCACACUGGGACUGAGACACGGCCCAGACUCCUACGGGAGGCAGCAGUGGGGAAUUUUGGACAAUGGGCGCAAGCCUGAUCCAGCAAUGCCGCGUGCAGGAAGAAGGCCUUCGGGUUGUAAACUGCUUUUGUCAGGGAAGAAAUCUUCUGGGCUAAUACCCCGGGAGGAUGACGGUACCUGAAGAAUAAGCACCGGCUAACUACGUGCCAGCAGCCGCAGUAA
Molecule: ribosomal RNA, 500 nt
Filed under: uncultured bacterium
Lineage: Bacteria
Description: partial 16S ribosomal RNA
Rfam family: Bacterial small subunit ribosomal RNA
Source: RNAcentral